AGUGAACGCUGGCGGUAGGCCUAACACAUGCAAGUCGAACGGCAGCACAGUAAGAGCUUGCUCUUACGGGUGGCGAGUGGCGGGCGGGUGAGGAAUACAUCGGAAUCUACUUUUUCGUGGGGGAUAACGUAGGGAAACUUACGCUAAUACCGCAUACGACCUACGGGUGAAAGCAGGGGAUCUUCGGACCUUGCGCGAUUGAAUGAGCCGAUGUCGGAUUAGCUAGUUGGCGGGGUAAAGGCCCACCAAGGCGACGAUCCGUAGCUGGUCUGAGAGGAUGAUCAGCCACACUGGAACGGAGACACGGUCCAGACUCCUACGGGAGGCAGCAGUGGGGAAUAUUGGACAAUGGGCGCAAGCCUGAUCCAGCCAUACCGCGUGGGUGAAGAAGGCCUUCGGGUUGUAAAGCCCUUUUGUUGGGAAAGAAAAGCAGCAGGUUAAUACCCCGCUGUUCUGACGGUACCCAAAGAAUAAGCACCGGCUAACUUC
Molecule: ribosomal RNA, 489 nt
Filed under: uncultured bacterium
Lineage: Bacteria
Description: partial 16S ribosomal RNA
Rfam family: Bacterial small subunit ribosomal RNA
Source: RNAcentral